Long non-coding RNA from Carassius gibelio (silver crucian carp), 2599 nucleotides. RefSeq lists it as uncharacterized. The transcript is spliced from 3 exons. The record is from RefSeq and is a predicted model, not a curated record. NCBI's taxonomy places the organism in Eukaryota, Metazoa, Chordata, Actinopteri, Cypriniformes, Cyprinidae.
GUAUAUAGGCUACACAGGACAUUAGACAUUUCAUCGUUUUUAAAUCUAGUUUUAUGUGUGCCAGAAAGUGCCUAUUUAUUUUGUAAAACAUUUUGUCUUCAUACUUAAAGUUAGAAGGCCUAUCUUGACACUUUUGGUCCUGUUAGGUAAAGACGCAUUGAGUAACAGAGAUGGCAGCACAUCUGGAAUCAAUACAGCCGAACUGGAUUCUGCCCCAGCUCUGGAGUCAGAGAGGUCGAGUUCUAGCUGACCAGGUCACAUCACUCAGAGUGCGCCGGCACGGAUGGUUGCUAUGGUGAGGGCUAUGGUGGAAGAGAUAUGGGGAUUGAAGGAGAAUUUUUUCUUGCUCAAGUAACAAAAAAAUACACUUGUGUUUUUUUUAUUUUUGCAUUUACACUUUCUUAUACUCAAUUAGAAUUAAGCCAAUAUAUAAAUAAGAACUUCUUGAAUUGUCCUGCUGUACACUGGUAAAGCUAGAAAAAAAAGAAAGAAGGGAAUUGUUUUGCUAAUUAACAUUGUGUAAACAAAUUUCUGUGUAAUUAUAACUCAUGAAACUGAUAUUAACCCUGUAAGCCAUGGUAUUUUUGCGUCCCUGAAGGUGUUGACAUACACAAAAAUGACACAUAACUCCAAAACUGUAGCAAGGAGGUUCAAAAGGUACUGUAGGUAUUUUUUUAUAGAAAUCUUUAUAUAAACAUUUAUCUUUACAUUUGAUAAUCCUCCUGUUGAGAAAUAGUUGAUAAAAGUGUAAGAAAAAUGUAUGUGCUCAAGGGAAAUAUAUAAUAUCUUUCAAAUUUGACAUUCAAUGUCUAAGGAAAGAAAUAAGAAUGAUUAUUUUAGUGAUGUUCCCCAACACAUGAGCUGUAUGUGAAUUAAAUAUUUUGGUGAUGACAUGAAGUAAUCAAAAGUUACAGCAUUUGGAACCAAGGUUGCCUUUUUCUUAACCCUUGACAGUUUUAGUCAAAGACCCAAACAAUUACCGGUAUGCUUGUUUUAUUUUACCCUGUAAGAGCUUUCAAAUGACUUAUUACACAUGUCUAUCUGAGCUGUAUGAUGAUUUUUUAAUUGUGAAAAAGAAUAAUAAUAAUUAGAUUUAAUUAGGAGUUUUACUAAUAAUAUCCUUUUUUUGUUGUUGUUGUUGUUGAUCAGGGCGGUAGUUCGAAAUAAAAUUAGAAUGUUUUUCACAAAGGCCCUCCUGCCCGCAGUACACUCCGUAGAACUCAAUGAUUAGAUCGUAGCAAAAGAUGAUCAAAAUACAUUCAUUCAUUUAGAAUGAUACCUAUUUUGUGUUUUUCCAUUUAGUGGUUGCUCAGUAAUUUGAUUAUGAUGGUCUAUCUACUAAGACUGGAGGGCAAGGACUGUACAUAACCCUUAUUUAUCUUAAUCAGAAACUUAAUCAUCAGCAUUCAUCAGCACUUUACAUUAAAUAUGAGAUUAAUCUCCGAGUCCAUACUAUAAAAAUAUAUUUGACCUAAAGAGGGUUAUGUUGGGGGUCAAUGUUUUGAUGUAUAUCCUAUAGUUUAAGAAAAUGGUUGCAAUCACACAUAAGUAAUUAAGUCAGUUCUCAUCAGGCAGUGUUGAAAAGUUAAAUACUAAUUGAAAUUAAGUGACAUCGAGCCAAGUAUGGUGACCCAUACUCAGAAUUCGUGCUCUGCAUUUAACCUGUCCAAAGUGCACACACACAGCAGUGGACACACACAUGGAGCAGUGGGCAGCCAUUUGUUGUGGUAUUGCCGGCACGAGACUCAAACCAUAACCUUAGGGUUAGGAGUCAAACUCUCUAACCAUUAGGCCACAACUUCCCCAAAAGUCUAUGUAAGCAGCAUAGUACUAAACUAUGAAAAAACAUCAUUCUGUUGAACUAGCCAGCAUCUCAUAUGCAGAAGCUAAGCAAAUAUUCACUUACACUAAAAUCAUUUUAUUUGCUAUUUGGUUUAUUCAUACACUCUCAGAAAAGAAAAAGGUACAAAAAUUGUCACUGGGGCGGUACCUUUUCAAAAGAUACACCUUUGUACCUAAAAGGUCUGGUACCUGAAAGGUACAAAAGUGUAACUUUGAAAAGGUACAAUCCCAGUGACAGUUUUUGGACCUGUUUUUCCUGAGUGUGUAGAAUAGUCACAUGACCUCAAUAUCCCACAAAUCUUAGCUUUGUUACAUAAUUUCAUAAUCUCACCCAUAUAUAAAUCUUUUUAUAUAAGGCAGUUCACCUUUAUAAUCUGCACUUCACAUGUACGGGUAAAUGAGCCAUUAAAGAUUUUUGACAUAUUCUCUUUAAUAUUGUGUAAUACUUUUUUUUUUAAAUACAGUCUUUUCUGAGGUAGACCAUUACAGUUCAAGAACAUUAUCAUUUUUAUAACAGACAUCAAAAAAAGACAUGAAAUGAAUAUUUUCAUGUACAAUAUGCUGCAAAAAUGAGGUAGAAAUGGUUACAGAAAAUGUACAAGAACAAGAUCCAAGAACAAAUUUACUGUACUAAUAGAUCAAAACAGCUAAUUAAUGACAAUUUUGUUGGACAAACUGUAUCUUUGUGUUCCUGUUUUGAAAUCAGCCAAGUCUCUGUAUUUGCCUAUGAUUUCUGAAUAAAAAUGGUUUGAAUUUA